Molecule: ribosomal RNA, 468 nt
Filed under: uncultured bacterium
Lineage: Bacteria
Description: partial 16S ribosomal RNA
Rfam family: Bacterial small subunit ribosomal RNA
Source: RNAcentral
GACGAACGCUGGCGGCGUGCUUAACACAUGCCAGUCGAACGGAAAGGCCCUGCUUUUGUGGGGUGCUCGAGUGGCGAACGGGUGAGUAACACGUGAGUAACCUGCCCUUGACUUUGGGAUAACUUCAGGAAACUGGGGCUAAUACCGGAUAGGAGCUCCUGCUGCAUGGUGGGGGUUGGAAAGUUUCGGCGGUUGGGGAUGGACUCGCGGCUUAUCAGCUUGUUGGUGGGGUAGUGGCUUACCAAGGCUUUGACGGGUAGCCGGCCUGAGAGGGUGACCGGCCAAAAUGGGACUGAGAUACGGCCCAGAAUCCUACGGGAGGCAGCAGUGGGGAAUAUUGCACAAUGGGCGGAAGCCUGAUGCAGCAACGCCGCGUGCGGGAUGACGGCCUUCGGGUUGUAAACCGAUUUCGCCUGUGACGAAGCGUGAGUGACGGUAAUGGGUAAAGAAGCACCGGCUAACUACGUG